Molecule: long non-coding RNA, 2452 nt
Organism: Sus scrofa (pig)
Lineage: Eukaryota; Metazoa; Chordata; Mammalia; Artiodactyla; Suidae
Source: RefSeq, a predicted model, not a curated record
GAGGCCUGGUCACUGGCAUUUUUUAAAGCACCAUAGAUGGUUCUAAUGGGUAGCUCGGGUUGAGAGCCGCUGGCAUAGGAUAGGAUAAAUACUUUGUUAAGAGUCUGGCAGAAUAUGAUAGAAAAAUACCCGGAACUUGGAGCCCAAAGAUCCAAAUUUGGGUCUGGGCUUUUUUGGAAUCAUCAUUGUGGCUUUUGGGAAAUUGCUUAACUCUUUUAUCCUCACUUCUCCCAAAAUCCUUACCUCAUUCAAAAUCUGAAGACCAGAUGAAACAGUGCCUGUGAAGUGCUUUGCAAACUCUGAAGUACUGUGUCUAUAGGAGGCAAGGCCUUUUAGAGACUUCUAGUGGGACAAUUCUGCAGUAGUAGUUUUGCUAUUGAACAACUGAGUUCAACUCAGCUGAAAUUUAUUGAAUACCUAACAGGAAACAAACGUUAUACUAGGCGCUAGGCGUACAAAGAUGAACAAGAUAUAGAUCCUAUUCCUUAGGGAACGCUCAUGCUUGGAAAAGGAGGUGGACAUUUCAACAAGGAGAUAUUAAGUGAUGUAGCUCCCAAGGACAGAAACAGCACUAAAGAGAAAUGCUGACUCUGAGGAUUCAGGGCAGGGAAGAGGAGGUGAUGUUUGAGCCAGCUUGAACAAGCAGGUCCUCUAGAAAUAGGGGAAAUAAGAGGCAGGGCUCUUCUAGGUUAAGCCAUGAGCACAAAAAGAUACAGAACUGAUCAUCUGCCCCAUAGUUUGGUAUGGCUGGGGCCCUGGGUGGCAGGGUGAGGUUUGAAUAGUGGACAGAUCAAUGGAAUUGUCAUUCCACACAGACUGGCAUAAAUCUCACCUCUUUUAGGAGAAAGGAAAAGGAAGUUAAAUGGCAGGUUUAAAAUUACAAUGGAUUUAAAAGUAAGGGAAUGAUUGGUUAACCUUCAAGACCAAAUUAUCUCUUUGAAACACAGGUAAUCUGAGUUCAAAGAGUUAACACAGCGUGAAGCCCCUCUUUGGCCCCAGACCCUGAAAAGUUGCUAGGUGACUUUGCGGAAGAGAAACAAAUAGAAACCCUUUCCCAAUUGAGAAGAAAAUUAAUGGGAAAAGAGGUGUUUCAGGGACUUAACACAUCUGCAGGGUGAUUUUCUUCUUCCUUUUUUAUACUUUUAACACUAUUAACACUUGCAAAUAGUAAAAGUAAUUAUGGAGGUGGUUGGGUUUUGACACUUGGAGAGAAAAACUUGAAAGGAGUGUCUGGUAACAAGCAUGAAGUAACUCUAAAUAUAGGCUGAGAAUAGGAAAUGUUAAAGAGCUUGGAAACAAUUAGAAUUUAAAGUCCUACGUUCAGAAUUCCAAAGACCUUUUUUCUUUUUUAAAUUUGCAAUAUCCCUUUAAGAGCUAUUUGGUCCAAUUCAUAGCCUGAUCCAUGACACCAGGGGCCUCUGAUUUCACUGAGAAAUACAGAAAUUUAUAGGGGACUGUAAAAUGGGGAGAGAUUUUUAGUUUUCUAAAUUGAGGUUUUUAACUAGGAAACUUCUGAAGGUUUAAGAAACCACAGAGCCGAGCUGUGGGAAGCUGGUUUCUUUUCCGGUCAGAACAAAUAAACACACAAACACAUAUCUAAUUCACAAAGUGUUGGAAGAGAUAGACCAAUGGUCUUUGCAAAGAAGGAAAACAAAAACUCAGCCUUGUGGACAACAGGAGGAAAGUCACAUUGGCCAGCAGACAGCACCCUAUGCUGGCAGAGGGAGAAAUCUGAGCUCCAGCGGCGUCGGGCGGCAUUUGCACACAGUCUACCGUUUCAAGUUGCAUGUCUCUGGAGUCCUAGCGAAGGCCCCAGCCCGUCUCCCUUCUCAGAGCCCCAAGGAUUAAUGAGAAGCCCCUGUACUACCCGCUGGACAGGCAGAUGAGGACACUGAGGUUCAGAGAGACUGUGUGCUCCCACAAGAGGAUAAUUGACAGCUAGAGCCCAGGACUCCAGACCCUAAUUGCACGGCUCUUUCCUCUCAUCUGCAGACCUCUAAUACUGCCUAUGGACUUCGAGCAUCUCUGAGCCAUGCUAUAUGAUUUCAGGGAAGAGAAAAAUAAUUUUUAUGCAAAAAAUAAGUUAUUAAGCUCUAUUAUGGGCUGAUUUGUGUACCUCCAAAAUUCAUACGAAGCCAUAACCCCCAGUAGCUCAGAAUGUGGCCAUUCGGAGACAAGACGUUUAAAGAGGCGGUAAGUUAAAAGGAGGUUAUUAGGGUGGGACCUAAUCCAAUAUGACUGGUGUCCUUAUAAGAGGAGGAGAUUAAGACACUGACAAUAUAGAGGGGUUGGACCAUGUGAGGACAUAGCAAGAAAGUGGCCAUCUGUGAGUCAAGGAGAGAGGCCUCAAAAGAACAACCUCAAUCAUGAACUUCUUUACAACACCUACCAGCACCUUGAUCUUGAACUUCUAAUCUCCUAAACUGUGUGAAAAUACAUUUCCGCUCUUUAA